This 659-nucleotide ribosomal RNA is filed under the name Lactobacillus kefiranofaciens subsp. kefirgranum. Its description in RNAcentral is "bacterial SSU rRNA". It matches the Rfam family "Bacterial small subunit ribosomal RNA", at positions 57 to 685 of the family's 1533-position model. Lineage: Bacteria; Bacillati; Bacillota; Bacilli; Lactobacillales; Lactobacillaceae. The record is from RNAcentral.
GCAGUCGAGCGAGCGGAACAGCAGAAUCACUUCGGUGAGGACGCUGGGAAAGCGAGCGGCGGAUGGGUGAGUAACACGUGGGGAACCUGCCCUUAAGUCUGGGAUACCACUUGGAAACAGGUGCUAAUACCGGAUAAGAAAGCAGUUCGCAUGAACAGCUUUUAAAAGGCGGCGCAAGCUGUCGCUAAAGGAUGGACCCGCGGUGCAUUAGCUAGUUGGUAAGGUAACGGCCUACCAAGGCAGUGAUGCAUAGCCGAGUUGAGAGACUGAUCGGCCACAUUGGGACUGAGACACGGCCCAAACUCCUACGGGAGGCAGCAGUAGGGAAUCUUCCACAAUGGACGCAAGUCUGAUGGAGCAACGCCGCGUGAGUGAAGAAGGUUUUCGGACCGUAAAGCUCUGUUGUUGGUGAAGAAGGAUAGAGGUAGUAACUGGCCUUUAUUUGACGGUAAUCAACCAGAAAGUCACGGCUAACUACGUGCCAGCAGCCGCGGUAAUACGUAGGUGGCAAGCGUUGUCCGGAUUUAUUGGGCGUAAAGCGAGCGCAGGCGGAAGAAUAAGUCUGAUGUGAAAGCCCUCGGCUUAACCGAGGAAUUGCAUCGGAAACUGUUUUUCUUGAGUGCAGAAGAGGAGAGUAGAACUCCAUGUGUAGCGGUGGA